This 119-nucleotide ribosomal RNA is filed under the name Crocodylus porosus (Australian saltwater crocodile). The record is from RNAcentral. Lineage: Eukaryota; Metazoa; Chordata; Crocodylia; Crocodylidae.
AAGGGUAGCUAUGUUGGAAUGGAUGCACCCAAUUUUGUCUAAUCUUGGAAGGUAAGUAGGCCUGGACCUGAACAAUACCUUGGAUAGAUGAUCCCCUUAAAACCCAGGUGCUGCAGAUA